This 409-nucleotide ribosomal RNA is filed under the name uncultured Pantoea sp. RNAcentral describes it as "bacterial SSU rRNA". It matches the Rfam family "Bacterial small subunit ribosomal RNA", at positions 125 to 529 of the family's 1533-position model. The record is from RNAcentral. Lineage: Bacteria; Pseudomonadati; Pseudomonadota; Gammaproteobacteria; Enterobacterales; Erwiniaceae.
UCUGCCCGAUAGAGGGGGAUAACCACUGGAAACGGUGGCUAAUACCGCAUAACGUCGCAAGACCAAAGAGGGGGACCUUCGGGCCUCUCACUAUCGGAUGAACCCAGAUGGGAUUAGCUAGUAGGCGGGGUAAUGGCCCACCUAGGCGACGAUCCCUAGCUGGUCUGAGAGGAUGACCAGCCACACUGGAACUGAGACACGGUCCAGACUCCUACGGGAGGCAGCAGUGGGGAAUAUUGCACAAUGGGCGCAAGCCGGAUGCAGCCAUGCCGCGUGUAUGAAGAAGGCCUUCGGGUUGUAAAGUACUUUCAGCGGGGAGGAAGGCGAUGCGGUUAAUAACCCUGUCGAUUGACGUUACCCGCAGAAGAAGCACCGGCUAACUCCGUGCCAGCAGCCGCGGUAAUACGGA